AGACAGAGGGUGCGAACGUUGCUCGGAAUUACUGGGCGUAAAGCGCGUGUAGGCGGACUUGUAAGUCGAUUGUGAAAGCCCUGGGCUCAACCCAGGAACUGCAUUCGAAACUACAAGUCUUGAGUGGUUGAGAGGGAAGCGGAAUUCCCGGUGUAGAGGUGAAAUUCGUAGAUAUCGGGAGGAACACCAGCGGCGAAGGCGGCUUCCUGGACACCAACUGACGCUGAGACGCGAAAGCGUGGGGAGCAAACAGAAUUAGAUACCCUAGUAGUCC
RNAcentral lists this ribosomal RNA (274 nucleotides) under uncultured bacterium. RNAcentral's name for it is "partial 16S ribosomal RNA". It matches the Rfam family "Bacterial small subunit ribosomal RNA", at positions 523 to 796 of the family's 1533-position model. The record is from RNAcentral.